Molecule: ribosomal RNA, 565 nt
Filed under: Nemania sp. genotype 197
Lineage: Eukaryota; Fungi; Ascomycota; Sordariomycetes; Xylariales; Xylariaceae
Description: eukaryotic LSU rRNA
Rfam family: Eukaryotic large subunit ribosomal RNA
Source: RNAcentral
UAUAGGUUGACCUCGGAUCAGGUAGGAAUACCCGCUGAACUUAAGCAUAUCAAUAAGCGGAGGAAAAGAAACCAACAGGGAUUGCCCUAGUAACGGCGAGUGAAGCGGCAACAGCUCAAAUUUGAAAUCUGGCCCUCGGGUCCGAGUUGUAAUUUGCAGAGGAUGCUUUUGGCGCGGUGCCUUCCGAGUUCCCUGGAACGGGACGCCUUAGAGGGUGAGAGCCCCGUACGGUUGGACACCAAGCCUCUGUAAAGCUCCUUCGACGAGUCGAGUAGUUUGGGAAUGCUGCUCUAAAUGGGAGGUAAAUUUCUUCUAAAGCUAAAUAUUGGCCAGAGACCGAUAGCGCACAAGUAGAGUGAUCGAAAGAUGAAAAGCACUUUGAAAAGAGGGUUAAACAGCACGUGAAAUUGUUGAAAGGGAAGCGUUUGCGACCAGACCUCUUCCCGGCGGAUCAUCCGGUGGUUUCCACCGGUGCACUUCGCCGGGUCGAGGCCAGCAUCGGUCUCUGCAGGGGGAUAAAAGCCCUGGGAACGUAGCUCCUCCGGGAGUGUUAUAGCCCUUCGCA